AACUUUCAACAACGGAUCUCUUGGUUCUGGCAUCGAUGAAGAACGCAGCAAAAUGCGAUAAGUAAUGUGAAUUGCAGAAUUCAGUGAAUUAUCGAAUCUUUGAACGCACAUUGCGCCCGCCAGUAUUCUGGCGGGCAUGCCUGUUCGAGCGUCAUUU
Molecule: ribosomal RNA, 157 nt
Filed under: Fusarium oxysporum
Lineage: Eukaryota; Fungi; Ascomycota; Sordariomycetes; Hypocreales; Nectriaceae
Description: 5.8S ribosomal RNA
Rfam family: 5.8S ribosomal RNA
About the family: 5.8S ribosomal RNA (5.8S rRNA) is a component of the large subunit of the eukaryotic ribosome. It is transcribed by RNA polymerase I as part of the 45S precursor that also contains 18S and 28S rRNA.
Source: RNAcentral